GAUGAAGAACUCAGCGAAAUGCGAUAAGUAAUGUGAAUUGCAGAAUUCAGUGAAUCAUCGAAUCUUUGAACGCACAUUGCGCCCGCCAGUAUUCUGGCGGGCAUGCCUGUUCGAGCGUCAUUUCAACCCUCAAGCACAGCUUGGUGUUGGGACUCGCGUUAAUUCGCGUUCCUCAAAUUGAUUGGCGGUCACGUCGAGCUUCCAUAGCGUAGUAGUAAAACCCUCGUUACUGGUAAUCGUCGCGGCCACGCCGUUAAACCCCAACUUCUGAAUGUUGACCUCGGAUCAGGUAGGAAUACCCGCUGAACUUAAGCAUAUCAAUAAGCGGAGGA
Molecule: unclassified non-coding RNA, 332 nt
Filed under: soil metagenome
Description: partial contains 5.8S ribosomal RNA, internal transcribed spacer 2, and large subunit ribosomal RNA
Rfam family: 5.8S ribosomal RNA (bases 1-120)
Source: RNAcentral